Molecule: ribosomal RNA, 434 nt
Filed under: Ophiocordyceps khokpasiensis
Lineage: Eukaryota; Fungi; Ascomycota; Sordariomycetes; Hypocreales; Ophiocordycipitaceae
Description: partial large subunit ribosomal RNA
Rfam family: Eukaryotic large subunit ribosomal RNA
Source: RNAcentral
AUCGGUUCGCGGCGGGGGACAAAGGCGCCGGGAACGUGGCUCCUCCGGGAGUGUUAUAGCCCGGCGCGCAAUGCCCCGCGGCGGACCGAGGUUCGCGCUCCGCAAGGAUGCUGGCGUAAUGGUCACCAGCGACCCGUCUUGAAACACGGACCAAGGAGUCGUCUUCGUAUGCGAGUGUUCGGGUGUCAAACCCCUACGCGUAAUGAAAGUGAACGCAGGUGAGAGCUUCGGCGCAUCAUCGACCGAUCCUGAUGUUCUCGGAUGGAUUUGAGUAAGAGCAUACGGGGCCGGACCCGAAAGAAGGUGAACUAUGCCUGUAUAGGGUGAAGCCAGAGGAAACUCUGGUGGAGGCUCGCAGCGGUUCUGACGUGCAAAUCGAUCGUCAAAUAUGGGCAUGGGGGCGAAAGACUAAUCGAACCUUCUAGUAGCUGGUU